Molecule: non-coding RNA, 3194 nt
Organism: Dermacentor andersoni
Lineage: Eukaryota; Metazoa; Arthropoda; Arachnida; Ixodida; Ixodidae
Source: RefSeq, a predicted model, not a curated record
GUAAUGGCGAGAAAAAAUAACCAUACAACAAAAAAGCAAAAAGUGAAAUUAGUACAGAAUACUUAAACGGGGGAUUCAGUGUAACAAGUGAACACUACUGUAGUACAGCGAACGAUGAGACAGUAAUGCUGCAUCUUGCCACUCCAGAACGUGAGAAAUGAAUAUGCAAGCCUCAUAUUAGAAACUUACAUAAACAUGGAAAUAAACUGGAAUGCACUGGAAGCUGCAUUUGUGUAACAAAGGAAGCAAUGGUCAUAAUAAAUAGUAUGUGUUUUAUCUAAAAAGCCCUUUACAAGAGGCAAAGUUGUACCUCUCUGGCAAAAACAAAGUUGCAACGAAUAAUUUGCAAACCAGCAAAUACAUUAAUUAGCACACUGACAUGUCACACUUUGCGCACAUCUCCAGUCUCCUAAAGUAAAAAAAAAGCACUCUGAAUGAGAAAAACGUUUAACGCAUGUAGCCCAUGCAGAGCAAGUUCUUUGCCAGUUCACUCACACUUUCACAUCCAAAAACAUUUGCCACAAAGUCCAGGCACAGUUCCACUGAUGUUUACCAAUUCACCCCCACUUUCACGUCCAAAAAUAUUUGGCACACAGUCCAGGCAGAGCUUCAUAGAUAAACAGCUUGAGAGCACCCUACUGAUUAUUGUGCAGUCCCGCUGCUGGAAAUAGAACUGCCGCAUAUGCUGGUAGUGGUUUCAAUGUAGACACACUUGCUGCCCUGGACAGGUAUGCUCAGAUAUCUGCACUGGUGCUCCGUUUUGUCGAAGUAGACACAUUGAUGCACUACGCUGGUAAUUAAAAUGUAUUGAAUGCACAAGUAUUGGCUUCACCAGAGAGAUUUGCCCACAUACCACCACUGGCAUAUAUAUAUGCACUUGCUCUUCACUCAGUAGCAUUGAACUUAAAAUGUUCCCUAUGUGGGAGCCAUGUGUAAAACCGGUGUCACACGACCACUCUCGAUCGCGAUCACGCCCGAUCCGGAUCGAAAUUAUCGAUGCGACUGGCUCACUCUCGUAGCUUGCGCAGAGGAGCCAAUCACGACCGAGAAAUUCGAUUUGUAACGGACUGGAUAGCGGCUAAAAGAGCCCCGUGUGAAACCGGUAUCAAAUAAUGCACAGACGUACGCUAGGAAAAUGUGUUGCACAAGGACAAAGAACUGCGACAUGCCCUGUUGUGCGAAGCGCGCGAACAGAACACAUGUAUAUAUAUAUAAAAAAAAACUGCGAGAGCGCUUCGCGAACUCCAUGCGCACACAUGGCACCCGCACGAACUCGCCAGGCCGCCGAAAGCGCGAAGGGCGCACAGCGUACAUUCCGACACACGUCCCAAACUGCAAACAAUCGUACUACCUAAAGCAUACAAGUUAUUUUAUACCAAGGGCAUACUCGACUCAUGUAUGCAGUAUCCACAAGCGAGUUAUGCAGCGUACAUGCUGUAUCCAUUCGCCAAAUAGUAAAAUUGAUAACAAGCACAAAGCUACAAGGGACUCAAUACAUUACUACCAUUUGAGGCGUCAAAUAAAAUCGAAUUUGGCCGUUUCAUAUAUUGGACACAAUAUAUGGACACAUGUGGUACCCGGUAAUACCAUGAAAUACCCAUCACGUGGGUAAAGGGGGCGAAAACACAAUCGAGAACCUGAAGCGCAAACGAUAAAAGCACGGUAUGGUGCACGCAAAAUUCUGUCAGUGCGCUGUAGCGCGAGGGAAGAAAAUAGGGCGAGCACUUGACCUCACCUUUUGGGAUACCGCACUAGUACUGAAUCAUUAAAAAAAAAGCCUGUUUGAACCAGUUCCCUUGUCUGCAACAGUCUUGCUAAACGGGAGACUAAAAUACCACGAUGACGGCUCUAUAUUGCGGAGAUCGGCAAGGUGCGCACAGGCAGAAAUUUUGCCGCCUUUCUUCGCAUUCUGCAAAAUGCUUUCUUGUUAGGAUCACGCAUAGCGGCCGAUCCCGACGCUAGGGACACACAGGCACGAUUUCGUCCCUCUAACUUUCGUCCUUAUACUGCCCUUAACGCCUUAAUUACAGCGUCAGUGAAAAGGCACCUCACAUAACAUGACAAUGAACUUGAAGAGCUGAUUAGUGCCCUCCACUCCGCGCCCUCCAAUUGAAAACACUACUGAUUUCGAAAUUAAACUACACAAACAGAUCGCACAACCCAAACUAAUCACAGAAUGUCGUUUUCUUGACAGCAAAGCACUGCAACACUUACAUGACAAAGGGCAGCGGCAGCACAUUCAGAACAGUCGCAAACAGACCAUAGUGCCAUGCGAGUGCGAUAACGCAACUAUGCCCGGCUUCACGAAUAACAUGGCCGCCUUGGUCACAUAACAAUUGAAAACACUACUGAUUUCCAAAUUAAAACCACACAAACAUAUCGCACAACCCAAACUGAUCACAGAAUAUCGUUUUCUUGACAGCAAAACACUGCAACACUUACAUAGCAAAGGGCAGCGGCAGCACAUUCAGAACAGCCGCAAACACACCACAGCGCAAUACGAGUGCGGUGACGCGACGACGCCAUGACGACGCGACUAUGCCCGGCUCGCCACUUGAACAUCGCCCCCGAGUGCUCCGUGAUCGCUGCGCAUGCGUGAGGUGAGAGAAGGUGAGAAAGGAGAACAACUCUUUUUCGCAGGAUGUGACGUCACAUUGUUGCUUGUUUUUACUUUUUUGAAAGAGCUACUCUCGAACGUAGAUUAGCCAUUGCCGUCGUGUCGGCUGCAAGACGUUCUGCGCGCGCUUGGCGCGCUUUUGUGCGUGUCGAAAGCGUAUAACGUGCGCGAUAUUCGUGCGAGCGCAGUUUGACUUGAGCAAUCGUGGGUUUGGACUCCGUGACAUUUGCUUUCGUCAUAUGCGAGUUAGGGGCUUGCCGACAGGUAAACCGCCGCUGUACUUAGAUGAGUUGAGAUUUACACAUCAAUGCCAGCUCACAAAGCAUCUAAUACGGCAAUCAGCCAGCCACCUCCGCAGAUGGAGAAUUCUGCAGUUUCCAAUCAUACUGUUUCUGUUGUCUUUGGCAGAGAUUUUGAUUGUACACGGCGGGAAUAAACUGUAGGACCAUAAAAAAACUUGUGAUGACAAGGGCCAUAUAUGGUGGAAAUUAUAGUAGAUUAUGACCAGCAUUAGCUCAAGCCCUGCUAAAGGUCUGUGGUAUCUAAAAAAAUAAUAAAGUGCUGGUUUUCAUAUCUA